GUUAGAUAGCUCAGAUCAUAAACUAAAUGAAUACAAAAUAAGACAAAUAGAGCUUAAUGUUAAGGCUUCUUUCUUAGUCUACUCCUCUAUACUUCCUGGUAGAAGUGGAAAGUUUGAAAGUAAGAAAUAUUCCCAAGAAGGAAAGUUUAAUAAUACUGUCUUUGAAAUAAUUGUUAAAUUGCUUAUUUUCUCUUUAUAAACUUGUACUACUUUUCAAAAGUCAGGAGUUUAUCUAGUUUGUACCAGUUUUGGGGAACCAGUUCUACAACAUAUAAUACUUUUGCUAUCUUCUCUUUUUGUGAUUAGAUAUUUAAACCAAAAAUGAAUCUUACCACUGUUUUUUUUUAAGAUUUUAUUUAUU
This is a long non-coding RNA of Phyllostomus discolor (pale spear-nosed bat), 361 nucleotides long. RefSeq lists it as uncharacterized. The transcript is spliced from 3 exons. Lineage: Eukaryota; Metazoa; Chordata; Mammalia; Chiroptera; Phyllostomidae. The record is from RefSeq and is a predicted model, not a curated record.